RNAcentral lists this ribosomal RNA (496 nucleotides) under uncultured bacterium. Its description in RNAcentral is "partial 16S ribosomal RNA". It matches the Rfam family "Bacterial small subunit ribosomal RNA", at positions 29 to 507 of the family's 1533-position model. The record is from RNAcentral.
AUGAACGCUGGCGGCGUGCCUAAUACCUGCAAGUCGAGCGCACAGAUGAGGAGCUUGCUCCUCUGACGUUAGCGGCGGACGGGUGAGUAACACGUGGAUAACCUACCUAUAAGACUGGGAUAACUUCGGGAAACCGGAGCUAAUACCGGAUAAUAUAUUGAACCGCAUGGUUCAAUAGUGAAAGACGGUUUUGCUGUCACUUAUAGAUGGAUCCGCGCCGCAUUAGCUAGUUGGUAAGGUAACGGCUUACCAAGGCAACGAUGCGUAGCCGACCUGAGAGGGUGAUCGGCCACACUGGAACUGAGACACGGUCCAGACUCCUACGGGAGGCAGCAGUAGGGAAUCUUCCGCAAUGGGCGAAAGCCUGACGGAGCAACGCCGCGUGAGUGAUGAAGGUCUUCGGAUCGUAAAACUCUGUUAUUAGGGAAGAACAAAUAUGUAAGUAACUAUGCACGUCUUGACGGUACCUAAUCAGAAAGCCACGGCUAACUACGUG